GUUGGAUAAUUUGACAUUUUUAUCAUCUGUGAGGUACCACAGUUAAUAGCAUGUUAGAGUUCUAAAGGCA
Globicephala melas (long-finned pilot whale) is the source of this 70-nucleotide small nucleolar RNA. RefSeq annotates it as small nucleolar RNA SNORD28. NCBI's taxonomy places the organism in Eukaryota, Metazoa, Chordata, Mammalia, Artiodactyla, Delphinidae. The record is from RefSeq and is a predicted model, not a curated record.